Molecule: microRNA precursor, 52 nt
Filed under: Marmota monax (woodchuck)
Lineage: Eukaryota; Metazoa; Chordata; Mammalia; Rodentia; Sciuridae
Source: RNAcentral
UUUUUUCUCUAAAUAUGUCCCAUGCAACAUUUGGGACAUAUUUAUACCAGAA